Molecule: ribosomal RNA, 253 nt
Filed under: uncultured bacterium
Lineage: Bacteria
Description: partial 16S ribosomal RNA
Rfam family: Bacterial small subunit ribosomal RNA
Source: RNAcentral
CACGUAGGGCGCAAGCGUUGUCCGGAAUUAUUGGGCGUAAAGAGCUCGUAGGCGGUCUGUUGCGUCCGCUGUGAAAACUCGGGGCUUAACCCCGAGCCUGCAGUGGAUACGGGCAGACUAGAGGUAGGUAGGGGAGAAUGGAAUUCCCGGUGUAGCGGUGAAAUGCGCAGAUAUCGGGAGGAACACCGGUGGCGAAGGCGGCUCACUGGACAUGUAUUGACGCUGAGGUGCGAAAGCGUGGGGAGCAAACAGG